RNAcentral lists this unclassified non-coding RNA (211 nucleotides) under Hevea brasiliensis (rubber tree). The record is from RNAcentral. Lineage: Eukaryota; Viridiplantae; Streptophyta; Magnoliopsida; Malpighiales; Euphorbiaceae.
GAUCAAAAACUUCAAAUUGUGCAUUAGAUAGCUUUUUAAUCUUCUUCUUCACAAUCAACUCCUUAGGAUAAGGGAAGCAAUAGCCAUCCCCAAGAACACUAAUAGAAGGAACCCCAAAAGUCCAUCCUCCAGACAGAUCCAUUGCAGUGCCUCUCAAGAAACUGUGUAGAAAUUGAAGAACGUACAGCAAAGAGAGAGAGAGAGAGAUUGA